GGGGCCGUGGUCUAGCCUGGGUAUGACGUCGGGCUCCAGACCCGAAUGUCGAGGGUUCAAAUCCUUCCGGCCCCACCA
Molecule: transfer RNA, 78 nt
Filed under: Candidatus Bathyarchaeota archaeon
Lineage: Archaea; Thermoproteati; Candidatus Bathyarchaeota
Also listed under: 1 other name
Description: tRNA-Trp
Rfam family: tRNA
About the family: Transfer RNA (tRNA) molecules are approximately 80 nucleotides in length. Their secondary structure includes four short double-helical elements and three loops (D, anti-codon, and T loops).
Source: RNAcentral